Molecule: long non-coding RNA, 508 nt
Organism: Hippocampus zosterae (dwarf seahorse)
Lineage: Eukaryota; Metazoa; Chordata; Actinopteri; Syngnathiformes; Syngnathidae
Exons: 2
Source: RefSeq, a predicted model, not a curated record
UCAAUCUCAACAUUGCCCUAAAGGAUGAGAGAAAGUAAGGACAAUACUUUAAAGGUACAGAUUAUUCAUACCCUGCCCCAAUUUUGAGUUGAAAUUCAUUUCUACUGGUAGAAUGGCUAUUUCUUGCUGGAAAUAAAAUUACGAAAGAGUCCAAAAAUGUGUACUAUAUAUAUAGAUAUAUACCAGCGGAGUCCAAAGUCGGUCCUCAAAAGCCGCUGUCCUUGCUGUUUUCCAGCUCUCACAGGAGCAACACACCUGAUUCAAAUCAUCAGGAUCGUUCUAAUGCUGCUUCAGAGCUGGCUAAUGAGCUGAUCAUCUGAAUCAGGUGUGUUGUAGGCGGGAGGGCUGGAAAACAGGCAGGACAGUGGCCCUCGAGGCCCGGAGCUGGACAUGUCUGAUAUACAGGUAUACUGUAAAACAUAGGUGUCAAACUCAGGUCCUGGAUGGCCGCUGUCUUGCAUGCUUUCCAAGUCUCCCUUUUCAAAGACACCUGAUUCAAGACACCUGA